UCUCCGUAGGUGAACCUGCGGAGGGAUCAUUACAGAGUUCAUGCCCUACCGGGUAGAUCUCCCACCCUAUGUUAUUAUUACUUUGUUGCUUUGGCGGGCCGUUAGGCUCCGGCCCGACUACCGGCCCCGGCUGGUGAGCGCCCGCCAGAGGACCCAAAACCCUGAAUAUUAGUGUCGUCUGAGUACUAUAUAAUAGUUAAAACUUUCAACAACGGAUCUCCUGGUUCUG
This 229-nucleotide unclassified non-coding RNA is filed under the name plant metagenome. Its description in RNAcentral is "partial contains small subunit ribosomal RNA, internal transcribed spacer 1, and 5.8S ribosomal RNA". The record is from RNAcentral.